This 307-nucleotide ribosomal RNA is filed under the name uncultured bacterium. RNAcentral describes it as "bacterial SSU rRNA". It matches the Rfam family "Bacterial small subunit ribosomal RNA", at positions 28 to 334 of the family's 1533-position model. The record is from RNAcentral.
GAUGAACGCUGGCGGCGUGCUUAACACAUGCAAGUCGAACGAUUAAACCGCCCUCGGGCGGACAUAGAGUGGCGAACGGGUGAGUAACACGUGACCAACCUGCCCCGCACUCCGGGAUAACCUGCGGAAACGCAGGCUAAUACCGGAUACUCCGCGCAGGCCGCAUGGCCCGCGCGGGAAAGCCCUUACGGUGCGGGAUGGGGUCGCGGCCCAUUAGGUAGACGGCGGGGUGACGGCCCACCGUGCCCGCGAUGGGUAGCCGAGCUGAGAGGCUGACCGGCCACAUUGGGACUGAGAUACGGCCCAG